This 497-nucleotide ribosomal RNA is filed under the name uncultured bacterium. RNAcentral describes it as "partial 16S ribosomal RNA". It matches the Rfam family "Bacterial small subunit ribosomal RNA", at positions 28 to 507 of the family's 1533-position model. The record is from RNAcentral.
GAUGAACGCUGGCGGCGUGCCUAAUACAUGCAAGUCGAGCGAACAGACGAGGAGCUUGCUCCUCUGACGUUAGCGGCGGACGGGUGAGUAACACGUGGAUAACCUACCUAUAAGACUGGGAUAACGUCGGGAAACCGGAGCUAAUACCGGAUAACAUGUUGAACCGAAUGGUUCAAGAGGGAAAGACGGUCUUGCUGACACUUAUAGAAGGAGCCGCGCCGGAUUAGCUAGUUGGUAAGGGAACGGCUUACCAAGGCAACGAUGCGUAGCCGACCUGAGAGGGUGAUCGGCCACACUGGAACUGAGACACGGUCCAGACUCCUACGGGAGGCAGCAGUAGGAAAUCUUCCGCAAUGGGCGAAAGCCUGACGGAGCAACGCCGCGUGAGUGAAGAAGGUCUUCGGAUCGUAAAACUCUGUUAUUAGGGAAGAACAAAUGUGUAAGUAACUAUGCACGUCUUGACGGUACCUAAUCAGAAAGCCACGGCUAACUACGUG